This 139-nucleotide ribosomal RNA is filed under the name Meloidogyne graminicola. Its description in RNAcentral is "partial 18S ribosomal RNA". It matches the Rfam family "Eukaryotic small subunit ribosomal RNA", at positions 1690 to 1831 of the family's 1831-position model. The record is from RNAcentral. Lineage: Eukaryota; Metazoa; Nematoda; Chromadorea; Rhabditida; Meloidogynidae.
UGAGCCAUUUCGAGAAUUUGGGGACCGUUGAUUAAACAUUUAUUUGUUUUUUUGAUGGAAACCAAUUUAAUCGCAGUGGCUUGAACCGGGCAAAAGUCGUAACAAGGUAGCUGUAGGUGAACCUGCUGCUGGAUCAUUA